GCAACCCUUAUCCUUUGUUGCCAGCGGUCCGGCCGGGAACUCAAAGGAGACUGCCAGUGAUAAACUGGAGGAAGGUGGGGAUGACGUCAAGUCAUCAUGGCCCUUACGACCAGGGCUACACACGUGCUACAAUGGCGCAUACAAAGAGAAGCGACCUCGCGAGAGCAAGCGGACCUCAUAAAGUGCGUCGUAGUCCGGAUUGGAGUCUGCAACUCGACUCCAUGAAGUCGGAAUCGCUAGUAAUCGUGGAUCAGAAUGCCACGGUGAAUACGUUCCCGGGCCUUGUACACACCGCCCGUCACACCAUGGGAGUGGGUUGCAAAAGAAGUAGGUAGCUUAACCUUCGGGAGGGCGCUUACCACUUUGUGAUUCAUGACUGGGGUGAAGUCGUAACAAGGUAACCGUAGGGGAACCUGCGGUUGGAUCACCUCCUUACCUUAAAGAAGC
RNAcentral lists this ribosomal RNA (447 nucleotides) under Escherichia coli. Its description in RNAcentral is "bacterial SSU rRNA". It matches the Rfam family "Bacterial small subunit ribosomal RNA", at positions 1098 to 1533 of the family's 1533-position model. The record is from RNAcentral. Lineage: Bacteria; Pseudomonadati; Pseudomonadota; Gammaproteobacteria; Enterobacterales; Enterobacteriaceae. RNAcentral also lists the same sequence under 2 other names.